GAAAUGCGAUAAGUAGUGUGAAUUGCAGAAUUCAGUGAAUCAUCGAAUCUUUGAACGCACAUUGCGCCCCUCGGUAUUCCGUGGGGCAUGCCUGUUCGAGCGUCAUCUACACCCUCAAGCUCUGCUUGGUGUUGGGCGUCUGUCCCGCCUCCUUCGCGCGCGGACUCGCCCCAAAUCCAUUGGCGGCGGCCCGUGCCUCCCUCUCGCGCAGCACAUUGCGCUUCUCGAGGCGCGGCGGACCGCGUCCAGCAAGCAACCGUCACACCGUCUUUGACCUCGGAUCAGGUAGGGAUACCCGCUGAACUUAAGC
This 310-nucleotide unclassified non-coding RNA is filed under the name plant metagenome. RNAcentral's name for it is "partial contains 5.8S ribosomal RNA, internal transcribed spacer 2, and large subunit ribosomal RNA". The stretch from base 1 to 105 matches the Rfam family "5.8S ribosomal RNA", at positions 50 to 154 of the family's 154-position model. The record is from RNAcentral.